Molecule: ribosomal RNA, 323 nt
Filed under: uncultured bacterium
Lineage: Bacteria
Description: bacterial SSU rRNA
Rfam family: Bacterial small subunit ribosomal RNA
Source: RNAcentral
GAUGAACGCUGGCGGCGUGCUUAACACAUGCAAGUCGAACGGAACUGUUUGAAUGAAGUUUUCGGAUGGAUUUUAAACAGUUUAGUGGCGGACGGGUGAGUAACGCGUGGGUAACCUGCCUCACACUGGGGGAUAACAGUUAGAAAUAGCUGCUAAUACCGCAUAAGCGCACAGCUCCGCAUGGAGCAGUGUGAAAAACUCCGGUGGUGUGAGAUGGACCCGCGUCUGAUUAGCUAGUUGGUAAGGUAACGGCUUACCAAGGCAACGAUCAGUAGCCGACCUGAGAGGGUGACCGGCCACAUUGGGACUGAGACACGGCCCAA